ACUAUUUUGGCAGAAAAGUGCCAUGAAUUUAGAAUUCAUAAAUAUAGGUUAGCCCUAUAUAUAGUAC
This 67-nucleotide transfer RNA is filed under the name Trithemis hecate. RNAcentral's name for it is "tRNA-Leu". It matches the Rfam family "tRNA". Rfam says of the family: Transfer RNA (tRNA) molecules are approximately 80 nucleotides in length. Their secondary structure includes four short double-helical elements and three loops (D, anti-codon, and T loops). The record is from RNAcentral. Lineage: Eukaryota; Metazoa; Arthropoda; Insecta; Odonata; Libellulidae.